This 1403-nucleotide small RNA is filed under the name Pan troglodytes (chimpanzee). Its description in RNAcentral is "retained intron". Lineage: Eukaryota; Metazoa; Chordata; Mammalia; Primates; Hominidae. The record is from RNAcentral.
GACUCGCUCCGGCUCCCCUCGCCGUCCUGGACACGGCGGAGUGCGGAGCCGCCCGUAAGAUGCUCUGACCUUUGACCCCUGCCGUUCAGCUCUAGGGCCCGUGCAGGCCACACCAUGAACACCUCCCCAGGCACGGUGGGCAGUGACCCGGUCAUCCUGGCCACUGCAGGCUACGACCACACCGUGCGCUUCUGGCAGGCCCACAGCGGCAUCUGCACCCGGACGGUGCAGCACCAGGACUCCCAGGUGAAUGCCUUGGAGAUCACACCGGACCGCAGCAUGAUUGCUGCUGCAGGUAUCUGUGACCCUUGAUCUCUAAACUCCUGAGCUCUGGUGGGUCGACCUGAGCACAGCCAAGCUUCAGUUCAGCCUGUGUCCCUAGGUUACCAGCACAUCCGCAUGUAUGAUCUCAACUCCAAUAACCCUAACCCCAUCAUCAGCUACGACGGCGUCAACAAGAACAUCGCGUCUGUGGGCUUCCACGAAGACGGCCGCUGGAUGUACACGGGCGGCGAGGACUGCACAGCCAGGAUCUGGGACCUCAGGUCCCGGAACCUGCAGUGCCAGCGGAUCUUCCAGGUGAACGCACCCAUUAACUGCGUGUGCCUGCACCCCAACCAGGCAGAGCUCAUCGUGGGUGACCAGAGCGGGGCUAUCCACAUCUGGGACUUGAAAACAGACCACAACGAGCAGCUGAUCCCUGAGCCCGAGGUCUCCAUCACGUCCGCCCACAUCGAUCCCGACGCCAGCUACAUGGCAGCUGUCAAUAGCACUGGAAACUGCUAUGUCUGGAAUCUGACGGGGGGCAUUGGUGACGAGGUGACCCAGCUCAUCCCCAAGACCAAGAUCCCUGCCCACACGCGCUACGCCCUGCAGUGUCGCUUCAGCCCCGACUCCACGCUCCUCGCCACCUGCUCGGCUGAUCAGACGUGCAAGAUCUGGAGGACGUCCAACUUCUCCCUGAUGACGGAGCUGAGCAUCAAGAGCGGCAACCCCGGGGAGUCCUCCCGCGGCUGGAUGUGGGGCUGCGCCUUCUCGGGGGACUCCCAGUACAUCGUCACUGCUUCCUCGGACAACCUGGCCCGGCUCUGGUGUGUGGAGACUGGAGAGAUCAAGAGAGAGUAUGGCGGCCACCAGAAGGCUGUUGUCUGCCUGGCCUUCAAUGACAGUGUGCUGGGCUAGCCUGUGACCCCUCGGGACUGCCUGGUGCAGGUGGUGGCAGCUGGAGGGACCCAUGCAGCACCCAGGUCAGAGCAGACCCUCCCCUGCCGGCCUGCGCCAGCUGGACCUGAUGGCCCCCUGUGGUGCCUUGACCUGCUGGGCCAGGCUGCCCUGGGACUCUCAGCCCCCAGUUGCUUAUCCAGAUGUGACAGAGCUCGACCCAAGCCAGGCUGCACACUCCU